UCAGAAGUGAAGUGUCAACAUCGCUGUUAUAAUGUUAUAAACGAAAGCAGGGCUGAAGAAUUUUCUGCACUGCAAAGUCUUACAUCAGAAGAUGCCAGUCAGAAUCAAUUCUCCAAAGAAUUAUUUUCGUGUUAAAUUAAGAUACGAGCAAGCAAAAAUAAUCACAUUUUCGGCCUAUGGGCAUUAUAUGUGAAAAUACCAAACAUAUUUCAAAACAAUUUUUCGCACUGUUGGAUACACUACUUCAAAAGAAUGCGGUAUAUGACUGUUUGACUUGUGUGCCUUCAUUUUCAAAAUUCUUACAUACGAAGAUUAUAGUCCUCCUAAUUAUCGACAACACCUCAACCGGCGUUUAAAACCGAAUUCCUUCUCAAACUUAGUGUAAACGUUUCUUUCACUUCCGGUAAAUAUGAUAAUUUGUCCCAAGAAGACAAUACUCUAAAAUGCAAAUGUGACUGACAAAACACCCACUAUUAUUGUGACUGUAAGAGGCGAAUGAUUCAACAUAACAUUUGUCGAGAGAAAUGUUAUUAGUCUUUUUCAGUCUUCACUACGUCUGCGGUAAGAGUUCUUUUCUUGACAUAUACCAAUGAAUUGAAUGCUCUGGUUAAUUGUUUUAAUGAUGCACAUACACAUUUGCUUGCAGGAAUGUGAAAAGCUCAAAAACAGCAGUUGUGUUCAAUGGAACUUAACUACAAUCAAUGGAGUUAAAAUGUUGUG
Non-coding RNA from Paramuricea clavata, 720 nucleotides. NCBI's taxonomy places the organism in Eukaryota, Metazoa, Cnidaria, Anthozoa, Malacalcyonacea, Plexauridae. The record is from the annotation of a GenBank genome assembly.